RNAcentral lists this ribosomal RNA (1517 nucleotides) under Escherichia coli. RNAcentral's name for it is "partial 23S ribosomal RNA". It matches the Rfam family "Bacterial large subunit ribosomal RNA", at positions 697 to 2197 of the family's 2925-position model. The record is from RNAcentral. Lineage: Bacteria; Pseudomonadati; Pseudomonadota; Gammaproteobacteria; Enterobacterales; Enterobacteriaceae.
AAGUUGCAGGGUAUAGACCCGAAACCCGGUGAUCUAGCCAUGGGCAGGUUGAAGGUUGGGUAACACUAACUGGAGGACCGAACCGACUAAUGUUGAAAAAUUAGCGGAUGACUUGUGGCUGGGGGUGAAAGGCCAAUCAAACCGGGAGAUAGCUGGUUCUCCCCGAAAGCUAUUUAGGUAGCGCCUCGUGAAUUCAUCUCCGGGGGUAGAGCACUGUUUCGGCAAGGGGGUCAUCCCGACUUACCAACCCGAUGCAAACUGCGAAUACCGGAGAAUGUUAUCACGGGAGACACACGGCGGGUGCUAACGUCCGUCGUGAAGAGGGAAACAACCCAGACCGCCAGCUAAGGUCCCAAAGUCAUGGUUAAGUGGGAAACGAUGUGGGAAGGCCCAGACAGCCAGGAUGUUGGCUUAGAAGCAGCCAUCAUUUAAAGAAAGCGUAAUAGCUCACUGGUCGAGUCGGCCUGCGCGGAAGAUGUAACGGGGCUAAACCAUGCACCGAAGCUGCGGCAGCGACACUGUGUGUUGUUGGGUAGGGGAGCGUUCUGUAAGCCUGUGAAGGUGUGCUGUGAGGCAUGCUGGAGGUAUCAGAAGUGCGAAUGCUGACAUAAGUAACGAUAAAGCGGGUGAAAAGCCCGCUCGCCGGAAGACCAAGGGUUCCUGUCCAACGUUAAUCGGGGCAGGGUGAGUCGACCCCUAAGGCGAGGCCGAAAGGCGUAGUCGAUGGGAAACAGGUUAAUAUUCCUGUACUUGGUGUUACUGCGAAGGGGGGACGGAGAAGGCUAUGUUGGCCGGGCGACGGUUGUCCCGGUUUAAGCGUGUAGGCUGGUUUUCCAGGCAAAUCCGGAAAAUCAAGGCUGAGGCGUGAUGACGAGGCACUACGGUGCUGAAGCAACAAAUGCCCUGCUUCCAGGAAAAGCCUCUAAGCAUCAGGUAACAUCAAAUCGUACCCCAAACCGACACAGGUGGUCAGGUAGAGAAUACCAAGGCGCUUGAGAGAACUCGGGUGAAGGAACUAGGCAAAAUGGUGCCGUAACUUCGGGAGAAGGCACGCUGAUAUGUAGGUGAAGUCCCUCGCGGAUGGAGCUGAAAUCAGUCGAAGAUACCAGCUGGCUGCAACUGUUUAUUAAAAACACAGCACUGUGCAAACACGAAAGUGGACGUAUACGGUGUGACGCCUGCCCGGUGCCGGAAGGUUAAUUGAUGGGGUCAGCGCAAGCGAAGCUCUUGAUCGAAGCCCCGGUAAACGGCGGCCGUAACUAUAACGGUCCUAAGGUAGCGAAAUUCCUUGUCGGGUAAGUUCCGACCUGCACGAAUGGCGUAAUGAUGGCCAGGCUGUCUCCACCCGAGACUCAGUGAAAUUGAACUCGCUGUGAAGAUGCAGUGUACCCGCGGCAAGACGGAAAGACCCCGUGAACCUUUACUAUAGCUUGACACUGAACAUUGAGCCUUGAUGUGUAGGAUAGGUGGGAGGCUUUGAAGUGUGGACGCCAGUCUGCAUGGAGCCGACCUUGAAA